CCUACGGGAGGCUGCAGUAGGGAAUAUUGCUCAAUGGGGGAAACCCUGAAGCAGCAACGCCGCGUGGAGGAUGAAGGUUUUCGGAUUGUAAACUCCUGUUGUUAGAGAAGAUAAUUACGGUAUCUAACGAAUAAGCACCGGCUAACUCCGUGCCAGCAGCCGCGGUAAUACGGAGGGUGCAAGCGUUACUCGGAAUCACUGGGCGUAAAGAGCGCGGAGGCGGGAUAGCAAGUCAGAUGUGAAAUCCUAUGGCUUAACCAUAGAACUGCAUUUGAAACUGUUAUUCUAGAGUAUGGGAGAGGUAGGUGGAAUUCUGGGUGUAGGGGUAAAAUGCGUAGAGAUCCAGAGGAAUACUGAUGGCGAAGGCGACCUGCUAGAACAUAACUGACGCUGAUGCGCGAAAGCGUGGGGAGCAAACAGGAUUAGAUACCCGUGUAGUC
This 440-nucleotide ribosomal RNA is filed under the name uncultured bacterium. Its description in RNAcentral is "partial 16S ribosomal RNA". It matches the Rfam family "Bacterial small subunit ribosomal RNA", at positions 338 to 795 of the family's 1533-position model. The record is from RNAcentral.